AUUGAACGCUGGCGGCAGGCUUAACACAUGCAAGUCGAACGAGUGGAGGACGGGUGAGUAAUGCUUGGGAAUCUAGCUUAUGGAGGGGGCUAACUACGGGAAACUGUAGAUAAUACCGCGUACCCUAGGAUGAGCCCAAGUGGGAUUAGGUAGUUGGUGAGGUAAAGGCUCACAAAGCCGACGAUCUCUAGCUGGUCUGCGAGGAUGACCAGCCACACGGGGAGUGAGACACGGCCCAGACUCGUGCGGGAGGCAGAAGUGGGGAAUAUUGCGCAAGGGGGGAAACCUGACGCAGCAAUGCGGCGGGAAUGAAGAAGGCCUUCGGUUUGUAAAGUUCUUUCGGUAGCGAGGCGUUAACUACAGAAGAAGCACCGGCUAACUCCGUGCCAGCCGCCGCGGUAAUUC
RNAcentral lists this ribosomal RNA (405 nucleotides) under uncultured bacterium. RNAcentral describes it as "partial 16S ribosomal RNA". It matches the Rfam family "Bacterial small subunit ribosomal RNA", at positions 30 to 526 of the family's 1533-position model. The record is from RNAcentral.